AUGAAAAUAUUAGCUUGGAAUUGCCGGGGGCUUGGGAACGCCCCGGCAAUUCGUGCUUUGCUGGACGUCCAGCGAAGAUGUAACCCCGAUGUGAUGUUUUUGUCGGAAACUCACCUCGAAUCUUUUCCGGCGGAGUGCUUGCGUAGAAGAGUCAAGAUGGAUCAAAAGCUAGUCUGUCCAGGGGACGGUAGAAAGGGAGGCCUUAUUUUAUUCUGGAAUAAUAAUGUUAAAGUU
RNAcentral lists this ribosomal RNA (234 nucleotides) under Triticum aestivum (bread wheat). RNAcentral describes it as "partial small subunit ribosomal RNA". The record is from RNAcentral. Lineage: Eukaryota; Viridiplantae; Streptophyta; Magnoliopsida; Poales; Poaceae.